UACAUGAAGCUGGAAUCGCUAGUAAUCGCGGAUCAGAAUGCCGCGGUGAAUACGUUCCCGGGUCUUGUACACACCGCCCGUCACACCAUGGGAGUCAGUAACGCCCGAAGCCGGUGACCCAACCUAUCAGGAGGGAGCCGUCGAAGGCGGGACGGAUGACUGGGGUGAAGUCGUAACAAGGUACC
This 185-nucleotide ribosomal RNA is filed under the name uncultured bacterium. RNAcentral describes it as "partial 16S ribosomal RNA". It matches the Rfam family "Bacterial small subunit ribosomal RNA", at positions 1317 to 1500 of the family's 1533-position model. The record is from RNAcentral.